This 71-nucleotide transfer RNA is filed under the name Ochthebius himalayae. Its description in RNAcentral is "tRNA-Lys". It matches the Rfam family "tRNA". From Rfam's summary of the family: Transfer RNA (tRNA) molecules are approximately 80 nucleotides in length. Their secondary structure includes four short double-helical elements and three loops (D, anti-codon, and T loops). The record is from RNAcentral. Lineage: Eukaryota; Metazoa; Arthropoda; Insecta; Coleoptera; Hydraenidae.
CAUUAGAUGGCUGAAAGUAAGUACUGGUCUCUUAAACCAUAAAAUAAUAAGUUAACAUCUAUUUCUAAUGA